Non-coding RNA from Streptomyces sp. NRRL F-6602, 218 nucleotides. The record is from Rfam. NCBI's taxonomy places the organism in Bacteria, Bacillati, Actinomycetota, Actinomycetes, Kitasatosporales, Streptomycetaceae.
CGAUAGCGGAUAGUACCGUGAGGGAAUGGUGAAAAGUACCGCGGGAGCGGAGUGAAAGAGUACCUGAAACCGUGUGCCUACAAGCCGUGGGAGCGUCGCGUGGAGAUUUCGGUCUUCACGUCGUGACUGCGUGCCUUUUGAAGAAUGAGCCUGCGAGUUUGCGGCAUGUUGCGAGGUUAACCCGUGUGGGGGAGCCGUAGCGAAAGCGAGUCCGAAGA